This 644-nucleotide long non-coding RNA is filed under the name Fragaria vesca (wild strawberry). Its description in RNAcentral is "long non-coding RNA (FVES_LNC003083)". The record is from RNAcentral. Lineage: Eukaryota; Viridiplantae; Streptophyta; Magnoliopsida; Rosales; Rosaceae.
UGAUUCAGAUGUUGAUGUUGAUAAGAAGCGGAAGGUUGUAAAGAAGCAUAGUAGAAGCCGAGACGAUAGAGCUGAUGAUUCUGAUACCAGUGAGGAUGCGGGGGAUAGAUCCAGAAAGGAAAUUAAGAAAUCCAAACAACCUCGUAGGAGGCAUGAUUCAGAUGAAGAUGAUUCUGGAGAUGAUGUUGACAAGAAGAAAAAGGUUGUAAAGAAGCAUAGUAAAAGGCGAGACGAUAGAGCUGAUGAUUCUGAUACCAGUGAGGAUGCGGGGGCUAGAUCCAGAAAGGAUAUUAAGAAAUCCAAACAACCUCGUAGGAGGCAUGAAUCAGAUGAAGAUGAUUCUGGAGAUGAUGUUGACAAGAAGAAAAAGGCUGUAAAGAAGCAUAGUAAAAGCAGAAACGAUGAUACUGAUGAUUCCAGUGCCAGUGAAGAUGCCAAAGAUAGAUCCAUAAGGGAAGUCAAGAAACCCGAACAACCUCGUAGGAGGCAUGAUGCAGAUGUAGAUGGUUCUGAAGAUGAUGGUGACAAGAAAAGGAAGGUUGUAAAGAAGCAUAGUAAAAGCAGAAAUGAUGAUACUGAUGAUUCUGCUGCCAGUGAAGAUGCCGAGGAUAGAUCCGCAAAGGAAGUCAAGAAAUCACAACAAC